GGAAUAUUGGUCAAUGGACGAGAGUCUGAACCAGCCAAGUAGCGUGAGGGAUUAAGGCCCUACGGGUCGUAAACCUCUUUUGCCGGGGGAUAAGGACGCCCACGCGUGGGUAUUUGAAGGUACCCGGAGAAUAAGCAUCGGCUAACUCCGUGCCAGCAGCCGCGGUAAUACGGAGGAUGCGAGCGUUAUCCGGAUUUAUUGGGUUUAAAGGGUGCGCAGGCGGGCUGUUAAGUCAGCGGUGAAAGUUCCCGGCUCAACCGGGUCAGUGCCGUUGAUACUGGCAGUCUUGAAUGCGGUCAAGGCCGGCGGAAUGUGGCGUGUAGCGGUGAAAUGCAUAGAUAUGCCACAGAACACCGAUAGCGAAGGCAGCUGGCCGGGCCUGCAUUGACGCUCAGGCACGAAAGCGUGGGGAUCGAACA
This 419-nucleotide ribosomal RNA is filed under the name uncultured bacterium. RNAcentral's name for it is "bacterial SSU rRNA". It matches the Rfam family "Bacterial small subunit ribosomal RNA", at positions 358 to 774 of the family's 1533-position model. The record is from RNAcentral.